UUUCUACUCCCUCCGUCCGGAAUUACUUGUCGCAAAAAUGAAUGUAUCUAGAACUAAAAUACGUCUAGAUACAUCGAUUUCUUCAACAAGUAAUUCCGAACGGAGGGAGUAGCUU
This is a non-coding RNA of Triticum aestivum (bread wheat), 115 nucleotides long. The record is from Rfam. NCBI's taxonomy places the organism in Eukaryota, Viridiplantae, Streptophyta, Magnoliopsida, Poales, Poaceae.